RNAcentral lists this ribosomal RNA (253 nucleotides) under uncultured bacterium. RNAcentral describes it as "partial 16S ribosomal RNA". It matches the Rfam family "Bacterial small subunit ribosomal RNA", at positions 524 to 776 of the family's 1533-position model. The record is from RNAcentral.
UACGUAGGGUGCGAGCGUUGUCCGGAAUUAUUGGGCGUAAAGGGCGCGUAGGCGGUCUGUCGCGUCGGGAGUGAAAACUCAGGGCUUAACCCUGAGCCUGCUUCCGAUACGGGCAGACUAGAGGUAUGCAGGGGAGAACGGAAUUCCUGGUGUAGCGGUGAAAUGCGCAGAUAUCAGGAGGAACACCGGUGGCGAAGGCGGUUCUCUGGGCAUUACCUGACGCUGAGGAGCGAAAGUGUGGGGAGCGAACAGG